GAAUAGUCUUAGAUUUACAGAAAAAUUGCAAAGGUAAUACAGAGUUCCCAUAUACCCUACACCCAUUUUCCCUGGCAGUUAACAUUUUACACCAAUGAAUGUUGAUGUGUUCUUGCCUCAAGUCCGUGCUUUAUGCAGAUUUCCUUAGCUCCUCCCCACUGUCCUUUUUCUGUCCUGAGAUCCCACAUCACAGUUCAGUUGUUAUGUCUCCUUAGGCUCUUCUAGACAGUUCCUUAGACUUGCCUUGAUUUGAUAAUCUUGACAAUUUCAGGGAGUACCAUUCCCAUAUUUUGUAGAAAGUCCUUCAGUUGGGGUGUGUCCGAUGUUUUUCUCAUGGUUAAUCUAGGGUUAUAGUUAGCAAGGAAGGCCACAGAGGUAAAGUGCCAUUUUUAUCACAUCACAUGAAGGCCACAUACUGUCAACACGACUUACCCCUGCUGAUGUUGAUCUUGACCACCUGGCUGAGGUGUGUCAGGUUUCUCCACCAUGGAGACGCUCUCUUCUCCCCUUGCCCUGCCGCUUUGGGGAGGGAGGUGACUGUGUGCAGUCCAAUUCCAUCGCCCCCUUGAGGGGAGCAUCUACAGAAACUGUUUGGAAUUCUUCUGCAUGGGAGAUUUGUCUCUCUUCUCCCAUUCAUUCGUUUUAUUCAAUCAUUUAUUGAUAUCUGUAUGGACUUGUGGGGGGUUAUUUUGUGCUUUGGGGUCUAAAUCCAUACCAUGUUGUUUUGCUGCUCAAAUUGUUUUAGCUUUGGAGCUAUUUUAGUUGGCUUCUUUGAUGUACUUCCGCCAUUGUGUUUUUCCAGCACUUCCUCACUUUCUGACACUGCAAGAUGCCCCAGGCUCAUUUUGUAUAUUCCCUGCCCUGGCCUAGAAUCUGCCAUUUCUCCAAGGAGCCCUGGUUCCUUUGAUUGGAGAAUAGCAUUAGAAACUACCAUCUGGGCACUGACUUACUUUUUUACAGAAUCACUGGCUGUUGUGUAGAUGGCAGGCUAUAGCAGGGCAAAGUGGAAGUGGGACAGUGGAGAGGUUGCUAGAAUAUAGGCCAAGUGAGCAACAACCAAAGCUCUGGACAGGUGCUGGGGAGCAGCUUCUAACUCAGUUCAGCUGAACAAUUUGAGCCCACACCCAGUUUCCACUGCUCUGGGCCAGGCAUGGGGGAUGGUGGUAACAGCUACCUUUUCUUGAGUGCUUGUUGCAGGCUGGGCAGUGUUUAGUUUUGUUUGUUGUACUGUCUGCCUAUAUGAUUGGUAUAUGUAUCAGAGAGAGAGAGAUUGAUAGAGAAGCCGCUCUAGUUACCAAGAGCCGUGACCCUUGAAGUCUGGGCCCGUGGCAGAUCCCACCUGCCUUAUUGGGAGUAUAGGCUCUCCCACCGUGGGAGGGCCCAGGUCUUACAGGGGCCAGACAGAAUCAGGGAGUGGCCCCGAGGUUGGUUGCUGGCUGUCUCAACAGCCAUUGCUCUCGGGGCCACCCUGUCUAUCCAUAUACCUGUCCACUCCACCAGGUUUUUCUCAUUUCUUGAGUUUCCAGGAGAUCCCCAAGGCUGAGGGUUUCUGGAUUUGGGGACUCGAUGUAUUUCUAUCACAUGCCACAUUCUGGACUUGAGAGGUCUAAGGGUGCCUUGGGGAGGGUGCCCCCAGUCUUCUUGCCAGUCAGCCAGGAGGCAGGGUCUGGAUAGCUGGCCCUGCAACUCAGAGUCUCAGGUUUCUUGUUCCCGGGGCCCUGCUGAUUCGGAUGGGGCAGAAGGCAUGGGGCUGGGCUUCUUCCCUCCCUAGGUCUGCCCACUGCUCGGCUGGCCUUCUCAGCCACAGCAUCUGUCACUGAGAUGUUACAGUGUUUGGAGUGAGGCACAUCCCUGGCCUUAUCUUUUUAAUCCCUGUGCAGUCCUGUGAGGCAGGGACUGGGUUCAUGCCCAUUCUACAUGUAAAAACCCUGAACUGAGAGUAUGGAGUUUCCUGCCCAAUCCCAGGACACCCCGGCAGAGGCAGGAUUCAAAGCCAGGUUUCUCCAACUCCCAGCCACAGUGAACAGUGGUCUGAGUGGCCACAUCCACAUCUUCCCAGUUCCCCACUCCCUCCCUGUGACACCUCUCCUGUCAGCUGUCUCUGCCUCAGCCCAGGAGGUUGGCAUCUCCUUGCACACCUCCUCACACCCUCCCUGGGUACACAGCAUGUCUGGGUACUGGUUCCACGAGUGCCGUGGGACUGCCGCCUGCUUAAAGUUCUCUGGGGCCAAGAGGGCCUGGAGGAUUGUGUGGGGCUAGGGGAGGCUCCUGAUGUAUAUGGGGAACCCCAUCAGAAUCCAGAUCCCUGCCUCUACCUGAGACAGUCCUGAGGCCUCCAAGGAACAGAUGGGCCCUCUGUUGUCUGACCCAUCCAGGACAGGGCCAGAGGUGAGCCCUCUGGCUGGGAGGUCUCUUCACAGCCACCUAGGUCACCAAGCCGAGGGUGAGAGGGUCUCCUCCUGCUGCCUGCACCUGCAGGCCCCCAGCCCCGGGGCCUCUCCCAGAAGGCCAGGGACAAGGCUCCUCAGUGCAAUGAUCUCCUUUUCUCCUAGUCCACAUUCUUGAGUCUGAUGACCUCCACGGCCAGCGAGGCAGCGUCCUAUGAGUUCACCACUCUGACGUGUAUUCCUGGGGUCAUUGAAUACAAAGGUGCCAACAUCCAGCUCCUGGACCUUCCUGGAAUCAUUGAAGGCGCAGCCCAAGGUGGGAGGCAGGGCAGGUGUGUGGGAGGCAGGCUGGAGCUCUGUUACUGAUCGUUGAAAUUGGGUGUGGCUGUCAUGGAGAUCACUCUGGACCCCUGGUCCAUUAUCCCGCUUUCCAGAAAAGACAGGUUCCAGUUCAAAUCCUUGGCACCAAACUAGCCUUGUGAUCUUGGGCAAGUGAUUGGGUAUCUCUAAGCCAAGCCUCAGUUUCCUCAGCUGUAGAAUGGGCAUAAUAAUACUUCAUUUACAGCAUAGUUUUGAGGAUUUAAGUGAGGAAAUGUUCAGGAAGCAUUUAGCCUGGGGCCUGCCACAUGGUAGGGGUGGACGUAGGACAGCCGUUAGUAUCCUGUUACUCCUUUUAUGAUGGUGGUGUUGGAUUUUCUUCUGAAAUAAGUCUCCGUGAGUAAAACAUGUGGAUUAAAGAAAAAUGCCAAGCUUGUGCUAGUAUGUGGCAGAGGCUGUGGUAGGUCUGCAAAGGACAGGAGUCCAGGGCACCAUGGGCUGGGUAGCAGUCACACGGGUCCACGUAUGUAACUGCAUCCCUCCCACCCAUCCAGGAAAAGGCCGUGGCCGGCAGGUGAUCGCUGUGGCGCGCACGGCUGACGUCGUCAUCAUGAUGCUGGAUGCCACCAAGGGAGAGGUGCAGAGGUCCGCAGGGUGGGGCGUGGGGCAGGCUCACAUGUCUGGGGAGGGCCGAUGUGUCCCUGAGCUCGUACUGGGCGGCCUGUGGGUGCUUGGCUCUCUCACACGUGAGAGUAGUGGUAGGACUCGUCACAGACUAAACCCAACACCACCCAGCCUAUGGCGUCUUCUCCUCAAGGCUUGUGUCCAGCCAGCACAGAGGCUUCCUGGGACCGGGGGCCAAGGGGCUUGGCCUGGCUCUGCUUCCUGUUCAGAGGCACAGGUGCCUCAUCACUGCCCAGAACCUGCCAGGAGCCCAGCCCCAAGCACAGGAGCAUUGUUCAUCCACGUCCUGGCAGAGGGGUACACCAGGCCUGCCUCCUCAGGACCAGAAGGAGUACCCUCAUGUGGUCACCUCGUGGGGGCUCCACCACUUGCCUGUGCAUGCCGAGCGUAAACCGGGCCAGUCCCCUCUGGGACUGUGGCAGAGUUUAGAAGCUCCCUGCAGCUCUAGGGCAUUGGGAAGGAGUGUUCUCCGGGUUGCUGGGGAAGGGGGUGGAGGAGAGAGUCAGUCUCUGUCUGGGUGGGCAGUGACGUCCUGCGUAACAGGGAAGCUGUGCAUCUGGCUCUGUGGACAGCCUGUGAGGGGCUUAUGGGGUGCUCUGCCUAGGUCUCUGCUGGAGAAGGAGCUGGAGUCUGUGGGCAUCCGCCUCAACAAGCACAAGCCUAACAUCUACUUCAAGCCCAAGAAAGGCGGUGGCAUCUCCUUUAACUCGACAGUCACGCUGACCCAGUGCUCGGAAAAGCUGGUGCAGCUCAUCCUGCAUGAAUACAAGAUCUUCAACGCGGAAGUACUCUUCCGAGAAGACUGCUCCCCGGAUGAGUUCAUCGAUGUGAUCGUGGGCAACCGGGUGUACAUGCCCUGCCUGUAUGUUUAUAACAAAAUCGACCAGAUCUCCAUGGAAGAGGUGGACCGCCUGGCCCGAAAACCCAACAGUGUGGUCAUCAGCUGCGGCAUGAAGCUGAACCUGGACUAUCUGCUGGAGAUGCUUUGGGAGUACUUGGCCCUGACCUGCAUCUACACCAAGAAGAGAGGACAGAGGCCAGACUUCACAGACGCCAUCAUUCUCCGGAAAGGGGCCUCAGUGGAGCACGUGUGCCACCGCAUCCACCGGUCACUCGCCAGCCAGUUCAAGUACGCCCUGGUGUGGGGCACCAGCACCAAGUACAGUCCGCAGCGGGUGGGCCUGACCCACACCAUGGAGCACGAGGAUGUCAUCCAGAUCGUGAAGAAGUAACGGCGCCUGCUGGGCCUCCCACCCACCUGCCUCGUCUCCCUGGGGAGGUGGUCCCGCUGGGACACACAAACACCCAAACAGAAAAAUACGAAUACACGUACCCCAGGAAGGGGUCCCUCAAGUCUCUGCUAUUUACAGAAGUUUCUUCAGUAGGCAGACGAAGAGUGUGUUGGGGCAGAGGAGCUCAGCUGGAGGUAUUUCCCAUAAGACUGAGCCCUCUCAUGGGGGUUUUGAGUUUGUAGUGCUGAGCCUGCAUCUGUGCCCCGCAGCCCCCUGCACUGAGGGAGCAAGUUGCCCACCUGCCCGCCAGCCAGGGCCUAAAGUAGAUGGCAUGCUCAGUGCCAGGCUGGUAGCUGGGCCUGUUUGGGUCCCUGGAGGCGGUGGCUGCUGUCACGGCACCUCACUCCCUCAGCUCCUGCCAGCUUCUCUGACACUUGGGUUGGGGGCCCUUCCAGGAAGAAACCCCCUUGGGUGCCCCACACAGGGCUCUCCAUGAUGGGAACCAGCGGUUAGUGGCUUCAAAGGCCCAGCUGACACCCUCCACAGCCUAAGGGGUGUCCUAAAGUGCCUCCCCCUGUAUUCCCCCUCCCAGGGCAGCCCCUGCCCAGCACAAAACCCCAGGACCCUGGCUCUGCAUGCCUGGGGCAGGGACUUUUGAGUGCAGGAUCUGUAUUUUCUAAGUCCCCAGUUCUCCUGGCUCUCCUUUCUGAAAUAAAGGAUUGAAAACGGU
RNAcentral lists this small RNA (5351 nucleotides) under Pongo abelii (Sumatran orangutan). Its description in RNAcentral is "retained intron". Lineage: Eukaryota; Metazoa; Chordata; Mammalia; Primates; Hominidae. The record is from RNAcentral.